CAACCACUAUCUGGGUUGCCACUUCCACAUUCCAUGCAGCAGCCUUUGCAAUAUGCUGGACUAAAUGCGUCAGCAUCAACUGGAUCUUCUAAUAUACCAGAUUUUUCUUAUCCUUUCCUGCCACCUGCAAGUAACACUCAGAAUUUAACCUCUAGUUCACUGCAAUCUACCUUGGCUCCUAAUCAAGCUACUGUAUUAGCUUCCGAGACAUCAAAGUACCUGACUCCCAG
Molecule: unclassified non-coding RNA, 230 nt
Filed under: Hevea brasiliensis (rubber tree)
Lineage: Eukaryota; Viridiplantae; Streptophyta; Magnoliopsida; Malpighiales; Euphorbiaceae
Source: RNAcentral